CCAAUUUUCAUGGAUUGAGGAAAACUUACAUAUUCGUAGAUAUUUAAUUUCAUGGUAUUGCCAAAAUCUGCAUUUUACCAGAUAGAAAAUUUGUCAUUCGUUGAAUACUCUAUUUGGUGGUUCACCUAUACCCUUGAACAAGAAAAAUUAGUAUCCAACGAAUUAUAAUGAAUCCACAGUAUUUAAAUAGAACAAAAGGUAAGGGAUUAUUUAUUUCUGACUAGGUAGCCCAUUCAAAAUUUUCAAAAGUGACAGUCACAUUUCAGUAGUUUAUACAUACAAAUAUAAACAAAUUGCAGCUCAGUCUUCAUCUCAGGCCAGUUUAUUCAAGAUUUU
RNAcentral lists this long non-coding RNA (336 nucleotides) under Mytilus galloprovincialis (Mediterranean mussel). Lineage: Eukaryota; Metazoa; Mollusca; Bivalvia; Mytilida; Mytilidae. The record is from RNAcentral.